UAGUCCACGCCGUAAACGAUGAGUGUUAGAUGUCCGAGGUAAACUUGGGUGUCCUAAGCUAACGCGAUAAACACUCCGCCUGGGGAGUACGUACGCAAGUGUGAAACUCAAAGGAAUUGACGGGGACCCGCACGAGCAGCGGAGCAUGUGGUUUAAUUCGACGCAACGCGAAGAACCUUACCAAGUCUUGACACAACUUUGAAGGCAAUUAGAGAUAGUUGCUGUUUGGCUUCGGUCAACAAAGCUAC
RNAcentral lists this ribosomal RNA (248 nucleotides) under uncultured bacterium. Its description in RNAcentral is "partial 16S ribosomal RNA". It matches the Rfam family "Bacterial small subunit ribosomal RNA", at positions 791 to 1035 of the family's 1533-position model. The record is from RNAcentral.